This 253-nucleotide ribosomal RNA is filed under the name uncultured bacterium. Its description in RNAcentral is "partial 16S ribosomal RNA". It matches the Rfam family "Bacterial small subunit ribosomal RNA", at positions 524 to 776 of the family's 1533-position model. The record is from RNAcentral.
UACGUAGGGGGCAAGCGUUGUCCGGAAUCAUUGGGCGUAAAGCGCGUGUAGGCGGCUUCGUAAGUUGGAUGUGAAAUCCCACGGCUCAACCGUGGACGUGCAUCCAAAACUACGUCGCUGGAGUCUCGGAGAGGAAGGUGGAAUGCUUGGUGUAGAGGUGAAAUUCGUAGAUAUCAAGCAGAACACCUGCGGCGAAGGCGGCCUUCUGGACGAUGACUGACGCUGAGACGCGAAAGCGUGGGGAGCAAACAGG